UCUAAGUUUGAUGGCGACCGGCGCACGGGUGAGUAACACGUAUCCAACCUGCCGAUGACUCGGGGAUAGCCUUUCGAAAGAAAGAUUAAUACCCGAUGGCAUAGUUCUUCCGCAUGGUAGAACUAUUAAAGAAUUUCGGUCAUCGAUGGGGAUGCGUUCCAUUAGGUUGUUGGCGGGGUAACGGCCCACCAAGCCCUCGAUGGAUAGGGGUUCUGAGAGGAAGGUCCCCCACAUUGGAACUGAGACACGGUCCAAACUCCUACGGGAGGCAGCAUG
Molecule: ribosomal RNA, 276 nt
Filed under: uncultured bacterium
Lineage: Bacteria
Description: partial 16S ribosomal RNA
Rfam family: Bacterial small subunit ribosomal RNA
Source: RNAcentral